This is a long non-coding RNA of Eufriesea mexicana, 257 nucleotides long. RefSeq lists it as uncharacterized. The transcript has 3 exons. Lineage: Eukaryota; Metazoa; Arthropoda; Insecta; Hymenoptera; Apidae. The record is from RefSeq and is a predicted model, not a curated record.
GGUACCACAGGCUCGUCCAUUUUAUCCAUCUCGAUAGACUCGGUGGUGUACAGGUGCUUCCAACGGCAUGUCCUCGAGUUUCCCUCGCAUAAAUGAAUUUUCCAAGUCGACCAGCAUCGCGUGAAGUUCGUCCAGGGAUCCUUUGAACGAACAGGGGGCGUGUGUCAGGUCACAGAUAUAUUGGAAACUUACAACUAUCACGUUUUUUCUCCCCGGCGGAAGGAUAGAAGAAAACGAAUCGUCCCGUUGAUUCCCGG